GGAAUUCGUGGUGUAGCGGUGAAAUGCUUAGAUAUCACGAAGAACUCCGAUNGCGAAGGCAGCUUGCUGGACUGUAACUGACGCUGAGGCACGAAAGCGUGGGGAUCAAACAGGAUUAGAUACCCUGGUAGNCCACGCCGUAAACGAUGAAUGCUAGCUGUUAGCGAUAUACUGUUAGCGGCACAGAGAAAUCGUUAAGCAUUCCACCUGGGGAGUACGCCGGCAACGGUGAAACUCAAAGGAAUUGACGGGGGCCCGCACAAGCGGAGGAACAUGUGGUUUAAUUCGAUGAUACGCGAGGAACCUUACCUGGGCUUAAAUUGCAGUGGAAUAACGUGGAAACAUGUUAGCCUUCGGGCCGCUGUGAAGGUGCUGCAUGGUUGUCGUCAGCUCGUGCCGUGAGGUGUCGGCUUAAGUGCCAUAACGAGCGCAACCCUCAUCGAUAGUUACUAACAGGUUAAGCUGAGGACUCUAUCGAGACUGCCGACGUAAGUCGUGAGGAAGGUGGGGAUGACGUCAAAUCAGCACGGCCCUUACGUCCAGGGCUACACACGUGUUACAAUGGGGGGUACAAAGGGCAGCUACCUGGCGACAGGAUGCUAAUCUCUAAAACCUCUCUCAGUUCGGAUUGGAGUCUGCAACCCGACCCCAUGAAGCUGGAUUCGCUAGUAAUCGCGCAUCAGCCACGGCGCGGUGAAUACGUUCCCGGGCCUUGUGCACACCGCCCGUCAAGCCAUGGGAGCCGGGGGGACCUGAAGUAUGCAACCGUAAGGAGCGUCCUAGGGUAAAACUGGUGACUGGGGCU
Molecule: ribosomal RNA, 805 nt
Filed under: uncultured prokaryote
Description: bacterial SSU rRNA
Rfam family: Bacterial small subunit ribosomal RNA
Source: RNAcentral